UACAUGGGGUGCAAACGUUGCUCGGAAUUAUUGGGCGUAAAGCGCGCGUAGGCGGUUACUCAAGUCGGAUGUGAAAGCCCUCGGCUUAACUGAGGAAGUGCACCCGAAACUGGAUAGCUAGAGUACGAAAGAGGGUCGCGGAAUUCCCGGUGUAGAGGUGAAAUUCGUAGAUAUCGGGAGGAACACCGGUGGCGAAGGCGGCGACCUGGGUCGAGACUGACGCUGAGGCGCGAAAGCGUGGGGAGCAAACAGG
RNAcentral lists this ribosomal RNA (253 nucleotides) under uncultured bacterium. RNAcentral's name for it is "partial 16S ribosomal RNA". It matches the Rfam family "Bacterial small subunit ribosomal RNA", at positions 524 to 776 of the family's 1533-position model. The record is from RNAcentral.